This 2070-nucleotide ribosomal RNA is filed under the name human gut metagenome. RNAcentral describes it as "bacterial LSU rRNA". It matches the Rfam family "Bacterial large subunit ribosomal RNA", at positions 828 to 2925 of the family's 2925-position model. The record is from RNAcentral.
UCCAAUCGAACCCGGAGAUAGCUGGUUCUCCUCGAAAUAGCUUUAGGGCUAGCCUCAUGGAUCAUUGGUGGGGGUAGAGCACUGAAUGUGCGCGGGGGCCACAAAGCCUACCAAACGCUAUCAAACUUCGAAUACCAUACAAUGCAGACCAUGGGAGUCAGUCCGCGAGAGAUAAGUUCCGCGGGCAAAAGGGGAACACCCCAGAUCAACCGCUAAGGUCCCCAAGUUCACGUUAAGUGGAGAAGGAUGUGGAAUUGCACAGACAACCAGGAUGUUGGCUCAGAAGCAGCCACACAUUUAAAGAGUGCGUAAUAGCUCACUGGUCGAGUGAUUGUGCGCCGAAGAUGUCCGGGGCUAAACGUGACACCGAAGCGAUGGGUGCAUCUGAAGAAGAUGCGCGGUAGAGGAGCAAUGUGCAGAGGCAGAAGCCGUAUCGAGAGGCACGGUGGACACUGCACAAGAGAGAAUGCCGGUAUGAGUAGCGAGAGGCAUGCGAGAAACAUGCCCGUCGAAAGCCCAAGGUUUCCUGGGGAAGGUUCAUCCGCCCAGGGUAAGUCGGGGCCUAAGCCGAGGACGGAAGUCGUAGGCGAUGGACAGCAGGUGUAGAUUCCUGCACUACCGAUGGAAUGAAGCAGUGACACAGAAGGAUAACUCGAGCAGGGUGAUGGUCAACCCUGUGCAAGCAUCAAGGUUGGGUUGUAGUGAAGUACGCAACCCUAUAAGCUGAGGUGUGAUGCGGACCGAAAUUUCAGUAGGGAAGCGAGUGAGUUCACGCUGGCGAGAAAAGCUGCUAGUACAUCCAAAGGUACCCGUACCGGAAACCGACGCAGGUGGGCGAGGAGAGAAUCCUGAGACGAACGGGAGAACCCUUGUUAAGGAACUCGGCAAAAUGACCCCGUAACUUCGGGAUAAGGGGUGCCUGCGAGAGCAGGCCGCAGAGAAUAGUCACAAGCGACUGUUUAGCAAAAACACAGGUAUCUGCGAAAGCGAGAGCUGACGUAUAGGUGCUGACACCUGCCCGGUGCUGGAAGGUUAAGGGAACAUGUUAGAGCAAUCGAAGCAUCGAACCGAAGCCCCAGUAAACGGCGGCCGUAACUAUAACGGUCCUAAGGUAGCGAAAUUCCUUGUCGGGUAAGUUCCGACCCGCACGAAUGGUGUAACGACUUGUGAGCUGUCUCAACAGGGGGCCCGGUGAAAUUGAAGUAUGGGUGAAGAUGCCCAUUACCCGCGACUGGACGGAAAGACCCCGUAGAGCUUUACUGCAGCCUGAUAUUGAGUUUCGGUAACUGAUGCACAGGAUAGGUGGGAGUCUGAGAGACAUGGGUUUCGGCUCAUGAGGAGACGAUGUUGGGAUACCACUCUUCGGUUACUGAAAUUCUAACAUAGCUCUGUGAAACCAGAGGAUGGACAGUGUCAGGUGGACAGUUUGACUGGGGCGGUCGCCUCCGAAAGAGUAACGGAGGCGCCCAAAGGUACCCUCAGAAUGGAUGGAAACCAUUCGAAGAGCGCAAAGGCAGAAGGGUGCCUGACUGCGAGAGUGACAACUCGAGCAGAGACGAAAGUCGGGCUUAGUGAUCCGGCGGUAUUGAGUGGAAAAGCCGUCGCUUAACGGAUAAAAGCUACCUCGGGGAUAACAGGCUGAUCUCCCCCAAGAGUCCACAUCGACGGGGAGGUUUGGCACCUCGAUGUCGGCUCAUCGCAUCCUGGGGCUGUAUUCGGUCCCAAGGGUUUGGCUGUUCGCCAAUUAAAGCGGCACGCGAGCUGGGUUCAGAACGUCGUGAGACAGUUCGGUCCCUAUCCAUCGUGGGCGUAGGAGUCAUGAGAGGAGCUGUUCCUAGUACGAGAGGACCGGAAUGGACGCACCACUGGUGCAACUGUUGUCGUGCCAACGGCAUAGCAGGGAAGCGAAGUGCGGAUGGGAUAAACGCUGAAGGCAUCUAAGCGUGAAGCCCACCUCAAGAAUAAGACUCCACAAUAGACCCCUGGAGGACUACCAGGUAGAUAGGUCAUCGGUGGAAGCGCUGUAAGGCGUGUAGCUUGAUGAUACUAAUCGGUCGAAAGCUUCAUUUA